RNAcentral lists this ribosomal RNA (433 nucleotides) under uncultured bacterium. RNAcentral describes it as "partial 16S ribosomal RNA". It matches the Rfam family "Bacterial small subunit ribosomal RNA", at positions 29 to 507 of the family's 1533-position model. The record is from RNAcentral.
AACGAACGCUGGCGGCGGGCUUAACACAUGCAAGUCGAACGGAUCCUUCGGGAUUAUUGGCGGACGGGUGAUUAACGCGUGGGAACGUACCCUUUGCUACGGAAUAACUCAGGUAAAGUUGAGCUAAUAACGCAUGUGCUCUACGGGGGAAAGAGUUAUCGGCAAAGGAUCGGCCCUCGUUGGAUUAGUUGGUUGGUGGGGUAAUGGCCUACCAAGGAGACGAUGCAUAGCUGGUCGGAGAGGAUGGCACGGAACGAUGGGACUGAGACACGGCCUAGAAUCCUACGGGAGGCAGCAGUGGGGAAUAUUGGACAAUGGGCGCAAGCGUGAUCCAGCCACGCCGCGUGAGUGAUGAAGGUCUUAGGAUUGUAAAGCUCUUUCACCGGUGAAGAUAAUGACGGUAGCCGGAGAAGAAGCCCCGGCUAACUUCGUG